Molecule: ribosomal RNA, 883 nt
Filed under: uncultured bacterium
Lineage: Bacteria
Description: bacterial SSU rRNA
Rfam family: Bacterial small subunit ribosomal RNA
Source: RNAcentral
CUAUGUAUGCAGUCGAGCGGUGACGGGGCUUCGGCCCCCGAUCAGCGGCGAACGGUUGAGUAACACGUAGGCAACCUGCCCCGAAGUGGGGGAUAACUCAUCGAAAGGUGGGCUAAUACCGCAUGUGGAUGGCGACCGCCUGGUCGCUUCUCCAAAGUGGCAACACGCUUCGGGAUGGGCCUGCGGCCUAUCAGCUAGUUGGUGGGGUAACGGCCUACCAAGGCGGCGACGGGUAGCUGGUCUGAGAGGAUGGUCAGCCAGACAGGGACUGAGACACGGCCCUGACUCCUUUGGGGGGCAGCAAUGAGGGAUAUUGCACAAUGGGCGAAAGCCUGAUGCAGCGACGCCGCGUGGGUGAUGAAGUCCUUCGGGAUGUAAAGCCCUUUUGCUGGGGACGAGAAUGGACGGUACCCAGCGAAUAAGCCCCGGCUAACUACGUGCCAGCAGCCGCGGUAAUACGUAGGGGGCGAGCGUUGUCCGGAUUUACUGGGCGUAAAGCGCGUGUAGGCGGUCCCUUCAGUCGGGUGUGAAAGCCCGGGGCUCAACCCCGGGACGCCGCCCGAUACUGGGGGACUUGAGGACGGAAGAGGGGAGUGGAAUUCCUGGUGUAGCGGUGAAAUGCGUAGAUAUCAAGAGGAACACUCGUGGCGAAUGCGGCUCCCUGGUCCGUCCCUGACGCUGAGACGCGAAAGCGCGGGGAGCGAACGGGAUUAGAUACCCCGGUAGUCCGCGCCGUAAACGAUGGUCACUAGGUGUGCAGGGUAUCGACCCCCUGCGUGCCGUCGCUAACGCAAUAAGUGACCCGCCUGGGGAGUACGGCCGCAAGAUUGAAACUCAAAGGAAUUGACGUGGGGCCCGCACAAGCGGUGGGAGCAUGGGGAUU